This 45-nucleotide non-coding RNA is filed under the name Trichobilharzia regenti. Lineage: Eukaryota; Metazoa; Platyhelminthes; Trematoda; Strigeidida; Schistosomatidae. The record is from RNAcentral.
AUCCAGCUGACGAGUCCCAAAUAGGAUGAAAUAUCCAUUCUAGAU